UUACACCAUCAUUUUUGAGCUUAUCAUGUUUAUUUUAGACAGUAGAAGUAAAGAGAAUAAUGAAAAUGUAGUCACCGAUUUUACUACUUCUCAAUUAGUAUCCUUAACAACUUCAACACAGUCGCAAACUUCAACCGUUGCAAAUCCAAAACAGUUGGCUACCACUGGGGCGCUCUCAUCAUCUACGGCUAUAUCUAGCGGGCAUUGGCUGCCAUGGACCAUGUGAACGAUAUGUUCAUCAACUUGUGGAGGAGGUAUUCGAGAAAGACAUAGGUCAUGCUAUCAGAUAUUUGACUGAAACGGCAACUUCAAAGAAAUACAACGAUGUUCCGAAAACCAGUGCCCAGUGUAUGGAAGUUGGUCUAAAUGGACACCAUGGACAAGUUGCGAUACGUCUUGCGGAAAAGGUCUCCAGAGACGCUCAAGAACAUGUUCACAAAAUAAUGCAGCAGAUAUUGACUGUGUAGGAAAAAGUACAAACGAGAAAACUUGCAGCUACGGUGCAUGUCCAGAUUGCUCGAUGACAUGCAAAUCUGGCAAGUUGAAUACGGAAUGUAACAUGUGCUUCUGCAGUCAGAUACUGUCGGGACAAGUUGUAUCAGCGCAUAAUGGACACUAUGCACCAUUACAUAAUGUACGUCUUUAUAAAAGCAAUUUUAUAGGCAGCAUAUUAACAGCAACUGACAAUCUUGGGCAAUUUAACCUUUCCAAUGUGUGCCUUUAUGCUGUCAUACGUUUUUCUAAAGAAGGAUUUGUUGAUAGAUUUGUUGAAAUUGACUCUGCAACAACGAAUAUAACACUGGAAAAAGCAGAACUACCUUACAUUACGAUGGAGCCUCAUACAAAAUCAAGAGUGGUUGGCGACAAUGUAACGCUGUGCUGCUCAGCAUCAAGAGCUUCGAAUAU
Molecule: long non-coding RNA, 906 nt
Organism: Ruditapes philippinarum (Manila clam)
Lineage: Eukaryota; Metazoa; Mollusca; Bivalvia; Venerida; Veneridae
Exons: 5
Source: RefSeq, a predicted model, not a curated record